RNAcentral lists this ribosomal RNA (627 nucleotides) under Salmonella enterica. RNAcentral's name for it is "bacterial SSU rRNA". It matches the Rfam family "Bacterial small subunit ribosomal RNA", at positions 895 to 1522 of the family's 1533-position model. RNAcentral also lists the same sequence under 1 other name. The record is from RNAcentral. Lineage: Bacteria; Pseudomonadati; Pseudomonadota; Gammaproteobacteria; Enterobacterales; Enterobacteriaceae.
UAAAACUCAAAUGAAUUGACGGGGGCCCGCACAAGCGGUGGAGCAUGUGGUUUAAUUCGAUGCAACGCGAAGAACCUUACCUGGUCUUGACAUCCACAGAAGAAUCCAGAGAUGGAUUUGUGCCUUCGGGAACUGUGAGACAGGUGCUGCAUGGCUGUCGUCAGCUCGUGUUGUGAAAUGUUGGGUUAAGUCCCGCAACGAGCGCAACCCUUAUCCUUUGUUGCCAGCGGUUAGGCCGGGAACUCAAAGGAGACUGCCAGUGAUAAACUGGAGGAAGGUGGGGAUGACGUCAAGUCAUCAUGGCCCUUACGACCAGGGCUACACACGUGCUACAAUGGCGCAUACAAAGAGAAGCGACCUCGCGAGAGCAAGCGGACCUCAUAAAGUGCGUCGUAGUCCGGAUUGGAGUCUGCAACUCGACUCCAUGAAGUCGGAAUCGCUAGUAAUCGUGGAUCAGAAUGCCACGGUGAAUACGUUCCCGGGCCUUGUACACACCGCCCGUCACACCAUGGGAGUGGGUUGCAAAAGAAGUAGGUAGCUUAACCUUCGGGAGGGCGCUUACCACUUUGUGAUUCAUGACUGGGGUGAAGUCGUAACAAGGUAACCGUAGGGGAACCUGCGGUUGGA